GUUGCUCCUAACGCCUCCAAUGAUCCAUAAGCUCUGCAUUCAUGCUCUAUUAAGCUUCAUUUUUAUCAAAUUCUAGUCCUGCAACACUAAUCAUAUCCAUUAGUUCAAGACACAAACUAAGCUCAAAUACAUGACAUAAUAUGUAAUGUAGCUCAUGAAAUGGGUGCAAGUAAGGAUAAUAAUUAGUACUUGGACGUAUAAAUACGCGCU
Molecule: long non-coding RNA, 210 nt
Filed under: Capsicum annuum
Lineage: Eukaryota; Viridiplantae; Streptophyta; Magnoliopsida; Solanales; Solanaceae
Description: long non-coding RNA (CANN_LNC012420)
Source: RNAcentral